RNAcentral lists this ribosomal RNA (484 nucleotides) under uncultured bacterium. RNAcentral describes it as "partial 16S ribosomal RNA". It matches the Rfam family "Bacterial small subunit ribosomal RNA", at positions 32 to 507 of the family's 1533-position model. The record is from RNAcentral.
AUUUAACGCUGGCGGCAGGCCUAACACAUGCAAGUCGAGCGGAUGAAGGGAGCUUGCUCCUGGAUUCAGCGGCGGACGGGUGAGUAAUGCCUAGGAAUCUGCCUGGUAGUGGGGGAUAACGUCCGGAAACGGGCGCUAAUACCGCAUACGGCCUGAGGGAGAAAGUGGGGGAUCUUCGGACCUCACGCUAUCAGAUGAGCCUAGGUCGGAUUAGCUAGUUGGUGGGGUAAAGGCCUACCAAGGCGACGAUCCGUAACUGGUCUGAGAGGAUGAUCAGUCACACUGGAACUGAGACACGGUCCAGACUCCUACGGGAGGCAGCAGUGGGGAAUAUUGGACAAUGGGCGAAAGCCUGAUCCAGCCAUGCCGCGUGUGUGAAGAAGGUCUUCGGAUUGUAAAGCACUUUAAGUUGGGAGGAAGGGCAGUAAGUUAAUACCUUGCUGUUUUGACGUUACCAACAGAAUAAGCACCGGCUAACUUCGUG